RNAcentral lists this long non-coding RNA (898 nucleotides) under Salmo salar (Atlantic salmon). RNAcentral's name for it is "lncRNA (ENSSSAG00000105084.1, ENSSSAG00000115831.1)". The record is from RNAcentral. Lineage: Eukaryota; Metazoa; Chordata; Actinopteri; Salmoniformes; Salmonidae.
GAAGCUGUUCAGCAGUCUGAUGGCUUGGGGGUAGAAGCUGUUCAUCGGUCUGAUGGCUUGGGGGUAGAAGCUGUUCAGCAGUCUGAUGGCUUGGGGGUAGAAGCUGUUCAGCAGUCUGAUGGCUUGGGGGUAGAAGCUGUUCAGCAGUCUGAUGGCUUGGGGGUAGAAGCUGUUCAGCAGUCUGAUGGCUUGGGGGUAGAAGCUGUUCAGCAGUCUGAUGGCUUGGGGGUAGAAGCUGUUCAGCAGACUGGUGGCUUGGGGGUAGAAGCUGUUCGGGAGCCUUUUGGUCCCACAUUUGGCACUCUGGUACCGUUCGUUGUGCAGUAGCAAAAUAACUGUCUAUAGCUUAGGUGGCUGGAGUCUGACACCGCCUGAUAUAGAGGUCCCAGUGAUGUACUGGGCCAUAUUCACUACCUUCUGUAGAAGAGCCAAGGACUCACAUUAUACUGUAGUCCUCAGAGAGAGAGAGAGAGAGAGAGAGAGAGAGACCUCUUCUGUUCUGUUCUGUUUGGGGGACGAGCUGUGUCAGUCUGCCCGCCUGAUGUUAAAGUGCUUAAGGCAGUAGGUCUAUGACUGCUACAUGUUAGGACGGCAGUAAUGUAGUCUAGACAGUCUUCUGGUAGGUCUAUGACUGCUACAUGUUAGGACGGCAGGAAUGUAGUCUAGACAGUCUUCUGGUAGGUCUAUGACUGCUACAUGUUAGGACGGCAGUAAUGUAGUCUAGACAGUCUUCUGGUAGGUCUAUGACUGCUACAUGUUAGGACAGCAGUAAUGUAGUCUAGACAGUCUUCUGGUAGGUCUAUGACUGCUACAUGUUAGGACAGCAGUAAUGUAGUCCAGACAGUCUUCCGGUAGGUCUAUGACUGCUACAUGUUAGGACAGCAGUAAUGUAGUCCAG